UACGUAGGGAGCAAGCGUUGUCCGGAAUCAUUGGGCGUAAAGCGCGCGUAGGUGGCCACAUAAGUCCGUUGUGAAAGUCAAAGGCUCAACCUUUGAAAGCCGAUGGAUACUGUGUGGCUAGAGUACGGAAGAGGCGAGUGGAAUUCCUGGUGUAGCGGUGAAAUGCGCAGAUAUCAGGAGGAACACCGAUGGCGAAGGCAGGUCUCUGGGCAUUAACUGACGCUGAGGAGCGAAAGCAUGGGGAGCGAACAGG
RNAcentral lists this ribosomal RNA (253 nucleotides) under uncultured bacterium. RNAcentral describes it as "partial 16S ribosomal RNA". It matches the Rfam family "Bacterial small subunit ribosomal RNA", at positions 524 to 776 of the family's 1533-position model. The record is from RNAcentral.